Molecule: long non-coding RNA, 337 nt
Filed under: Drosophila guanche
Lineage: Eukaryota; Metazoa; Arthropoda; Insecta; Diptera; Drosophilidae
Source: RNAcentral
AUAUUUUAGCUCUUCGCUUUUCUGUGUCGUUAAGUUAAGAAACUCGGGGGGGGAAUCGAUGGAGAAACACUUAGAAACUGCGACUAGAAAUGCCAUAAAGCAGCCGGACUAACUCGCACUAUCAAUGAGCGUGACAAAAGCGAGAUCACUAAUGGUGCGAUGAGAGCAGAGCUCAGUACAGUGAACAACUGCUACUAUGAACCAUAAAUGUUUCCACCUUCGUCAUGUAUGAAAGGGAUGCAAGAAAAAAUAGCAAAUAAAAAUCAAGUAGCGAGUAAAAUGGAACAGUAACGAGUGCCAAGUAACAAGGCUCACCUGCACCUAACAAGGAACAACC